CGAAGCGAAAGAGGGCAGGCACUCGAAGAGGGUCUCGCUAAGCUUCAGACAACAUCCCACUUGGUGUGUGAAGCACCGCGAAAGCGCGACGUCGAGUUCGUGGCCUCAGCCGCCGCCGCCGCCGCCGCCGCCGCCGCCGCCGCCUCCACACCCCACAGCCGGGUCUGUCAUGGCGCUGCCGUAGGCGCAAAGCCUGAUGCUGCAAACGCAGCUGGUGGAAUGGAACCCGUGCAGCCGCAGGCGUCGGAGAUGGGCGCCGCGCUGCAGGCCAUGUCGUCGGACUAGCGGGAGGCGGACCAUGCCGCCGUCUCCUGUCGUGCCGUUGCCUCAGCCCCCUCCAUCGCACCGGUUCCUUAGCUCGGCGGCGGUGGUUGCGAUCCCGCGGGCACGAGAUGUGACGGACCUGGUGACCGAGCUCGGCCACGGCGAGCUCCGGAGUGGCCCUUCUAUGUUCAUCAGAGCCACCUCCCACGGUCCUUCGCGGCUCUGAAUACAGAGGUGAGAAAUCAAAUCAAUCGAGCAGCGCUCCGGCGAUAUGCUCCUGUACAUGUUCUGAUCUGCCUGUCUUCGUUCGUGUGUGGAGUGACCAUGCUGGACUCGGCGACUGGGGCGCUGGAGCUUCUGGCCUUCUGGGCUUCGGUUUACACUGAAUAUGAUCAUCACUGACACCUGCUUGGUACUCUCCGCCUUGUCAUUCUGCUUGCUUCCGGCUAAACCUCGGCUCAUCCAUCGCGCAUACCUCUGCAUGCCCCAUGGCCUCGUCCUCAUCAGGAGCAGACAAAGGAAUAAGAGUAUACCCAUGGGUGACACACUACUCAGGCAGCUUGGUAGUGAAUUCUAUGAUUCAACAGUAGUUGUGCGGGUACCCAGGUUAUGGUGGAUCAACAGGGAGCUACUAUGGAAGAAGCCAUCCCGUGUCACCGAUUUAACAAAUUCAAAAACACACUAAAAGAAGGUUCUAUCUAUUGCAUUCGGAAUUUCAACUUCUAAGCUGCUACGAUGGUUUACAUGGCAGUGGAUUAUCCAAAGAGAAUUUUAUUUACCGAAAGGACAACCGCUACAGAAACCAAGCUCCGGCUAGAGAGCACACCCCCUUUUACAGUCUUGACACCGCGAAUGGAUCAGAACGCGUAAAUAUGUUCAUGAUUAUAAAUACAAAUACGUUGUAUUACUGAAAAUGGAGGCAUCAACCCAGUCAUGACAAUUCUUGAUUUGCAGAUGUUGGAUUUAGUAACAUCAGUCACUGAAGUAUUGCCCCCAGCUGGAGCGCAUCACCAACAGAGGAGACAUAUAUACAUUACAGAUGGAAAGUAGGUACUGUCAGCUACUUCAAGUAGUAAUAAAUACGGGUCGAACAUAUCAACAGACUGAAGCAUAGUUCACUGUGCGGUUGUUUACAGCCAGCCUGCUGUUCUUACCUUAUGGGGACAACAGGCCGAUAUGUUUGAUGCAAGGGGCUUCAGGCCGACUCUGCUAGGACAGCAGAUUUUCCUAAUGCGUUUGACAAAAGGAUUUACAGAUUACACAACGGUGGAUCACCCAUUGAGAGUUUGCUUUGCACAGAGAACGUUGGCCAUAGGAGUGCGACCUCAGAAGGAAAAUUUCCCCAUGUUCAGGUCAUAGUAGCCUGGUUCGCGGGUCGAUGGUGCGAUCCCCGUCCCGUGGUCGAUCGACCCCGAUCGAGGGUCGGGGACGACGGCGGGUCGAGCUGGAUCGAUUGCCGGAUCACGACCCCGAUCGAUGGACACUGACCCCAAUUUGAUAUGCAGGAUUACAGGAAGCCAGAAUGCAAGAUUGCCAGAAACAUAUAGGAGUUCAUGGGGAUUUGAUGCUUACCAGGCAAUC
Molecule: long non-coding RNA, 1845 nt
Organism: Triticum aestivum (bread wheat)
Lineage: Eukaryota; Viridiplantae; Streptophyta; Magnoliopsida; Poales; Poaceae
Exons: 3
Source: RefSeq, a predicted model, not a curated record